UCGACCGGCUACAAGAGAAAUCAGAGAGAAAUAGCAGAACAAAAUCAAAUGUGGUCGUCGUGUGAUCUUUGGUGUCGUGACUCCCGAUGUUCUACAUUCCAUGCUGUUUUUUAGAUUUCAGGUCUGAGCUAGCCAUCAUAACCACAAUAUGGGCAAUUUCUGAUACUGCAGUCUGUCAAUAGCAACCAUCUCAGAAUCAUCAAUUGGAUAAGCAGCUCCUAGUUUAAUUGGAAAAACUCUGUCCUCGUGUACACUCAUUUGAAGGAGAGUGUAUAUUCACGAUGACCCUCUUUUCCUGUCCUGCCUUGGGUCAACUUUACUGAGUGAGGAUGAAGCACUUGUGGAUGCCUGGCUGUGGAUUUCCCGGGCCAAAAGGUAGGGCACGCGUCUCUUUUCUUCUUUUUUUGUGACUAUUUGGUGGCGUUGGUUAUGAAACGUUACGGAGUACGUUUAUUCCUGAGUCAAGACGGUUGACUGCAAUUUUUCUCUUUCCGUUUCUGCUAUCUCAAUCAGGGUUAAUUUAUUUAACUCAUUUGUAGAGCGACUGCACGUCAGGCUUGUUUUAUACCGUGAGGUUGUUAUUUGAAACUCGAAAACGUACGUUUUUUCAUUUGUAGUUUGAAAUUCUCCUAUCGAAAUCUGGUUUGUUUAUUAUGUUUAAAAGGUUGUGCUUGAUCGCUAGAUAACUGGCCUUCCUUCGCCGAUUUGAGUUUGAACUUGCGUUAUUUAAAAUUGAUUUUCACCCUAGGUCAAUUUCUAACAUUUUUACUUCAGCGGUCUUUUCAAUUGAAGUUCAAUUCUAUCUUUUUUUAGUUUAUUUCAGCGUUUUGCUCGGCCUUCAAGUGACGUAAUUUUUUUGUUUGAUUGCACACUGUAUUUUGCUAGGAAAUAACAAAGUUCUGUAACUACCCCGAGGGUACUUUAUGAAAUUUAUUCGAAAAUUAAUUUUAAAUCCAGUCAAAAUGAACGGAGUUUGUGCUUCUUCUGUUAAACUGCAAUCACAUUUUGGUGUUCGGGCACGUCGUACUUCUUAACUUCUAAUGGUCCACCAUGUCGAUGAAAUAAUUUCGAAAGUAAUUAACACCGUUCGUUUAAAUUCAGCUUGGAUAUGAUAUUGGUGGUGUUCUUUGAUUGAAUCUGACAACUUAAAACCCUGCCGUUAAGGCCGUUAAUCCGUUUUCAGUUUAUUUUAUUUGCGGAACUGAAAUGGUUUCUCCUCGGGUCCAAAAGCCGCUUUCACGGAAAAUUAUUAAAAGCGCCGAACAGAGAUGAGCGUACGCAAGUUUGAAGGGAAGUGGUGCUAGAAAUAUCUUGACACAUGGGAACCUCUGUUUAAAAAAGAAUUUUGGUUCAGUGAUAACGAAAAUUCUGUUUUUUGCUGUAUUUGUUUAACUAUUGAAAAUGCCCUCUUCAGCACAAUCCUCCCUUUAAAUUUGAAGGAAAGUAGAAUCGCUUAGUCCCGCUGAAAUUUAAAUAGUGGUUGGAAUGUUAGUGUGCUUUAAUCAGGACCGAAUGAACAGACCACCGUUUAUCUGCCACGAUCUGCCAUUUACUCAAUUGUUGCGAGUUGUUCCACCUCGUUCAAAAACUGUUCCGUUGUCGUGCCCCGUGACUUUUCUAUCACAUCUCCCAGCCCGUCCUUCGUUCGGCAUAUUUAACACGACAAACCGAACUGACCACGUCCACCUUGCAGGAAGUUCUGUUCUCUAUUCCGUUUAAUUUUUUUUAACGUGUAAUUUCGAUUGCGGCAAUUGUAUGCGAAUUUUGUUCAAAAUGCCGACAGCAGCGACUUGUUUCCCUGCACUAGUGCUACGAGAUCUGUGUGCGUGAUUGACGGAGUGUUCAGUGUUCACGCAAAAGAUUUGCAUUUAGAAUGUUGGACUUUGCAGCGUUUCGGGAGGAUCCUAGAUCUCGUAUCGCUCCGUUUAAACGUGACACUGAGAAACCCGAGAAAAAAAAUUGCACUCAGAACUUAUUGUUUAUUUCUUGGACUUUGGGAAGAAAAUUGAAUAAAUUUAGCAGUAAUCGCGUUGUUUUAUCGAAAAAUGCCCCUUUCCGUUUCUGAACUACGAGGAUCAAGGUGUUCGGUACCGAUUGCGUAGCUAAUGAUCGUCAUCAGUUAAUUUCCUUACACACGCCAACGUCUAUUGUGUGGAUUUAAUACCAACGUCAACGGAUAGGGAGAAAAAGUUUUUAUUCUGCGCAGGGACAGUUAACAAGACAUGAUUUCUUGGCCAGCUGGUUUUGGGGCACAAAAAUUCUGUUCAUCCCCCUCGUUUUUUCAUUCUGCCAAAGGAGUGGUAGCUCCAAUGGAAAAUCAGCGAGAAAAGACAACAAGAACCAAGAAAAUUCUGUGUAAAACU
Long non-coding RNA from Daphnia pulex (common water flea), 2363 nucleotides. RefSeq lists it as uncharacterized. NCBI's taxonomy places the organism in Eukaryota, Metazoa, Arthropoda, Branchiopoda, Diplostraca, Daphniidae. The transcript has 3 exons. The record is from RefSeq and is a predicted model, not a curated record.